RNAcentral lists this ribosomal RNA (253 nucleotides) under uncultured bacterium. Its description in RNAcentral is "partial 16S ribosomal RNA". It matches the Rfam family "Bacterial small subunit ribosomal RNA", at positions 524 to 776 of the family's 1533-position model. The record is from RNAcentral.
UACGUAGGGCGCAAGCGUUGUCCGGAAUUAUUGGGCGUAAAAAGCUCGUAGGCGGUUUGUCGCGUCUGUCGUGAAAGCUUGGGGCUUAACCCCAAGUCUGCGGUGGAUACGGGCAGACUAGAGGCAGGUAGGGGAGAACGGAAUUCCCGGUGUAGCGGUGAAAUGCGCAGAUAUCGGGAGGAACACCGGUGGCGAAGGCGGUUCUCUGGGCCUGUACUGACGCUGAGGAGCGAAGGCGUGGGGAGCGAACGGG